UAGAUAUAGGCCGCGCCGGAUACGAGUUUGAUUGAAGCUACUUCCGAGAGGGGAACCUGCUGGAUCCCGUUCGGUCCCUGCGCGCCGAUGCGCAGAUUUUGAAUCGCUUCGGCGCUCUUGCGGUAUUCAGGCGCAAGGCGAAGACGGUCGCUGCCGGGCUCGUACAGAUCGCCCGCGCUGUCACCGCCAAUCGCGACACGGAU
This 203-nucleotide unclassified non-coding RNA is filed under the name Hevea brasiliensis (rubber tree). Lineage: Eukaryota; Viridiplantae; Streptophyta; Magnoliopsida; Malpighiales; Euphorbiaceae. The record is from RNAcentral.